Molecule: ribosomal RNA, 843 nt
Filed under: uncultured bacterium
Lineage: Bacteria
Description: bacterial SSU rRNA
Rfam family: Bacterial small subunit ribosomal RNA
Source: RNAcentral
GCAAGUCGUACGCGAAAGAGGGAGCAAUCCCUUGAGUAGAGUGGCGAACGGGUGAGUAACGCGUGAGAAACCUGCCUUUGACAGGGGGAUAACACUCCCAACGGGGUGCUAAUACCGCAUGAGACCACGGGAUCGCAUGAUCCUGAGGUCAAAGAUGGCCUCUAUUUAUAAGCUAUCGGUCGAAGAUGGUCUCGCGUCCCAUUAGCUUGUUGGCGGUGUAAAAGACCACCAAGGCGACGAUGGGUAGCUGGUCUGAGAGGAUGGUCAGCCACACUGGGACUGAGAUACGGCCCAGACUCCUACGGGAGGCAGCAGUCGAGAGGCUUCGGCAAUGGGGGAAACCCUGACCGAGCGACGCCGCGUGGAGGAUGAAGGCCCUUGGGUUGUAAACUCCUUUUAUUCGGGAAGAAGUGCGAUCAGGUGAAUAAUCUGGUCGUUUGACGGUACCGGAUGAAUAAGCUCCGGCUAACUCCGUGCCAGCAGCCGCGGUAAUACGGGGGGAGCAAGCGUUGUUCGGAAUCACUGGGCGUAAAGGGCGUGUAGGCGGUCAAGUAAGUGGGAUGUGAAAUGCCCCGGCUCACCCGGGGACCUGCAUCCCAAACUGCUUGGCUUGAGUAUGGGAGAGGAUGAGGGAAUUCCUGGUGUAGCGGCGAAAUGCGUAGAUAUCAGGAGGAACACCGGUGGCGAAGGCGCUCAUCUGGCCCAAUACUGACGCUGAGGCGCGAAAGCUAGGGGAGCAAACGGGAUUAGAUACCCCGGUAGUCCUAGCCGUAAACGGUGAUCACUAGGUGUUGGAGGCAUCGACCCCUCCAGUGCCGCAGCUAACGCAUUAAGUGAUCCGCC